GACGAACGCUGGCGGCGUGCUUAACACAUGCAAGUCGAACGAUGAAGCCUAGCUUGCUAGGUGGAUUAGUGGCGAACGGGUGAGUAAUACGUGAGUAACCUACCUUUAACUCUGGGAUAAGCCUGGGAAACUGGGUCUAAUACCGGAUACGACCAAUCUCCGCAUGGGGUGUUGGUGGAAAGCGUUAUGUAGUGGUUAUAGAUGGGCUCACGGCCUAUCAGCUUGUUGGUGAGGUAAUGGCUCACCAAGGCGACGACGGGUAGCCGGCCUGAGAGGGUGACCGGCCACACUGGGACUGAGACACGGCCCAGACUCCUACGGGAGGCAGCAGUGGGGAAUAUUGCACAAUGGGCGCAAGCCUGAUGCAGCGACGCCGCGUGAGGGAUGACGGCCUUCGGGUUGUAAACCUCUGUUAGCAGGGAAGAAGAGAGAAUGACG
RNAcentral lists this ribosomal RNA (438 nucleotides) under Rothia mucilaginosa. RNAcentral's name for it is "bacterial SSU rRNA". It matches the Rfam family "Bacterial small subunit ribosomal RNA", at positions 28 to 474 of the family's 1533-position model. Lineage: Bacteria; Bacillati; Actinomycetota; Actinomycetes; Micrococcales; Micrococcaceae. The record is from RNAcentral.